This is a long non-coding RNA of Aquila chrysaetos chrysaetos, 4086 nucleotides long. RefSeq lists it as uncharacterized. The transcript has 3 exons. The record is from RefSeq and is a predicted model, not a curated record. NCBI's taxonomy places the organism in Eukaryota, Metazoa, Chordata, Aves, Accipitriformes, Accipitridae.
UAGCAUUGGAUAACUGCAAAGGUUUCCAGCUGUAGCACAGUCUGCUUGCUUUACUAUAAAAAUAAAUAAAUAAAUAAAGCUACCAUUUCUAUGUGAGUAACGCUAUUUAUAGGCACAUAUGAACACGCACACCCAGAAAGGCCCCAAGGAAUCUUCUCUUUCAGGUUAGAGUGUGAGAUUAAAUGAGUUCCUAAUUGACAAUUGGUUUCUUAAUUUUACCUUAUGAUUUCUUCUUGCUGCCAGCUGGGUUUGCAUGUGUGCUGGCUUCAGAUGAACACCUGUGUAACGCUCUCGAUUACUCCAUAAUUAUAAAUCACUUGUACAGUUCUGCACCAAGCCAGCGGCAGAAUUUCAGGAUUCAGCCUGGGUUAUGGGAUUGAAAUGGAGUUUUGCAUUCACAAACGUGGAAGGCGGUUGUGGCAAGCGGAGUUCAGGAUGGCAUCUGCUGCCUCAAUUCCUGCCAAGCGCGUGCAUAGCUGUUCCUUCGUACGGGUGAAUGCUGGCUACCCUUCAGUGGGCUUCUGAAGGAAAAUCUCUGUCAGUAAAUGAGCCCUUUGUAAAUGUGUUUUAAGUCAUUAUCUUGAUAUUCUGUGCAGCCAGUUGGAGGCCACUUCUAAAAUGCAAACAGGCAGGCUGUGCAUCUAAAACCAACCCGUUGCCAUUUUCACCAAAUCUUGAAUACUGCUCCCCUCCAGCAUCCGCUCUGCCUCAUCAUUUGUUUAAAGGAUGAGGUUUAAUAGCUGUCGGAAGAUGGGUAAACGCAAGGCAAGUUUAUUUGAUGCAAAGGUGCACUUUAUGCCACUGCUUUCUGCAGCUGAAGUGCUCCAGAAGCAGGGCAUCGCAAAGCCUUCGGGAGCUUCUCCUCCCCGGGUAAUCCCUCGUACGCUUGCAAGCACAGACGGGUACCCGGGGCCGUUCUCUUGCAGGUAGUUGCAUUGUUGGCAACGUUUCUAACUGCCGUCUGCCUUGGCACCGCUGAGGAAGUGUGGGAACAAGAAACCCUGGGACGAUUUGGCAGGUUGCAGCCCCGGGGCUCAGGGUGCCCGGUGUCUCCCUGGCUGCAGGGGGGCUGUGGACGGCGGUGCCGGCCGCGCCGGCUUCGUCCCGUGCGAAGGACCCCGGGACCACCCAGCCGCCCCGUCGCGGUGCGAGAGGGGCUUCCCCUCCGCUGCCGCCCAGCGAGGGGGUUUGAUAGCCGGCAUGGGCUGCGUGGGAAGCCCUUCUUUGUACAGUAAUGGAGAGUGCUGCAGUCGUAAAGCAACUUCGUUAAAAAUAAUGUUUCCCCCAGUCGGCACAGAACUGCCUGGCCACCAUCCCAUCUGACCGCUGAAAUCCCUGCUUACGUGAAAUAAGAGUGAAAGACCCUGAUUGCAGCUGAAGGGAAUUCAGUGGAGCCUGAAAUGUGGCAGGGAUGCUGAAGAAAACAACCCGCAGGAUUUUCUGUCUCCUCUCUGCUAUGGGUAAGCAUCGCCGAUGGAGCAGCGGGUACGGUUAGUGAGGCUUCCCCUGCCCUUGUGCAACAGCAUCUGCUCAGCAAGAGGGAGAAAACACAAGAAAAAACUCAUCCUGAUGCUUCUAAGGAUCCGUAUUUUAGAGGGCAGGCAGGGCCCCCGUGAGAAGCGGUGAUAAUUACUGCUUUUACAUGUCGGACGUGCCUCCCAGCAUCAUGAUUUUGCUGUGGCAGACAGCAUGAUUUAUAACACAAAUUACUGAAAAUUACAGAAAAAAGGCCAAUUUACAGUAGCUGAGAAUGGAUCAGAGUUGUAUCUACAGCAGAUUGUUUCUACCAUGAAUAAUUUAAAUGCUUCAAAGCUGCCACGGCCUUGGGUGUCAUUCCUGUGGGCGCUGCAGUCGGGCACCCGAGUGUUGCAAGACCAAACGGAGCAGGAGUGGCUCCUUCCAGCCUUCCACGUUCUGCGUUCACCUAACGGGUAUUCGGAGUGCGCCGUCUCCUCACGGAGGUUGUUGUCCAUUUUCUCAGGUCCGCACCCACACUGCUGGCUCCUGCCAAAAUCCGGUACUUGUGAGGAAGCCGAAGGGAAGCUGUUGUGCCGAGGUAGUAACGGGUAAUGCUGAGUUGAGGCAAAGCCCCUGGUUGAUUCUCGGGUGCUCUCUGGCCCCCUGGGUGGCAUCACACGAAUCGCUUCUCUGACCCAUAGAAACGUGAUGCAGAUUGUGAUCUGAGCAGUGGGUAUGUCAUUGCCUCUGGGGGCAGAGUCAUGAAUGCGUAUGGGUUUAUUUUCUCGUUGAUAUGGCAAACAUUGGUGCUAUAAAGUUGCAUAGAUUUAAUUUUUCCCCUAGCCAGCUGGGUAUGAUCUGUUUUUUAAGCGCAGUCUGGUCCCUGCAAGCGAGCGACUGCACCGAGAAGGCCCAUCUGGUGUGUGAUGGGAAACGGCUCUCGGGAGAGGGGCAGGAGCUGCCGGGGCUCUGUGCCCUGGGCUGCGCUGGCCCCGGGGCUUUGCUUGUCCAGGUGGGACUGGGAAAGGUGAGCCCAGCCCUGGCCCUGGCAGCUAGCGGGACCCAUGCAUGGCAUGAAGAGAGGACUGAAAAAACGGGGGUUCCUCUCCACCUUCUUUUGGAAGCUCCUUUGAACUGUCUGGAAGUUGGUCCAAGAAGUCUGUUUUCUCUUGGACCACAUUAAGCAAACGUUCUAGCCAAUCCCUUUUUCACCAGCCUUAGCAGAAGUAACCCAUCCAUGCUCAGGUAUCCAGCAUGCUGCUGAGAAAAUGACUUCAUGGGGUUAUUGCUUGAAAAAUCCCUUCUGCACUUCCCUCCCCUGCCCCCUCCCCUCCCUCACUGCGCUUGUCCCCUCCAGCAAAUACCUGCUGUGAUAUAUGUUGUCACCUAUGCAGUCCUCUGUGGCUUGUCUUCUGGCCGCCAUCCAUGAAUGGAUAACGGAACGGCUAUUCGAAAUACAAGCAGGAGAGUCAGCAGUAUGGUGAACACGAGAACACUACCAUUAGGUUAUGGUUCAAAGUAACGGAGUUGGCUGUCUUGCUUUCCCCAGGUGAAGUGAACUUCCAUGGAGGGAGCAGCAACCCGCUCAAGCCCCUAAUUUUGAGAGCAGAGCUGGGACAACUGUCCCAACAGAUAAACUGGUACUGAGCAUCUCUGUGGGGAGACCUCUGUCUCCACGAGGAGAGCGGGAACUUCAGCAGAAGAGGGGCUGGCAGCGGGAGGGAUAGACCAGAAACCGGGUGCGAAACCAAGCCACACUCCAUAAACACCCGAGGCCACAAUGAAGGGCUUAAAUAAAAUCAGCAAGAUGUGAAACCUGAGUAUGCCAGCAGAAAUGUCACCGGGGUGUUGUGCUGGUGAACCGAUGAGCUGUUAGUGGAGAGCUGCGUUUCCCACACCUGCUUCUUACAAAACUGUUAAUUAUCACCAGUAUUUCGGCAAUAGCAUCCCCAUAUCCAGCGCAGAUUUGGGAUUUUUUUCUGGUGACUUUUAUUUUCUUAGUGCUGCUGGAAAAAAUGCUUGACUGGUUUAUUUGGUGCCAUUCAUAACAGCAGCUGAACGAAGGGUAUUUAUUUCAGUGAAGCUCUUAAUGACUGGAAAGGAAAUGACUCGCAAGUAAUUAUAAAUAGCUGUAAAGCUGAAGACGUUUCACGGAUUCAUUCACUGCGGAGACAUGAUAGUUUUUCUCGUGAAAAUGUCAUCUUGUUCCUCAGAAAGAUUCCUUAAAAUACCUCAUCAGUCAGAAGACCUGCGCGGUGCCCAGGUACCGCCUCAGCUCUCCUUGUGAGGGACCCCGGUGAGGCAGACGGCGUUACAGAGGUUCACGGGGACCUGAGGGCAUCACCACUGCUCCGUCUUCACGGCGGUUUGCUGCAGCCUCGGUCCCGUUUUGACUUUGGUGGGAACCCAAAGCGGGAGGAGGAGCCGGGUCCCGGGUGUCUGUGGGGGACGUCCACCACAAAGGAAAUAAUUUAUUAGCAAAUAUGCUCGUAAAGAGGCCACGCUGACAAACCAGGCAAGUCUUAUUUUCAGCUGAGGAGCAGCCGCGUGGCAGUGACUCACUAGGGCUUGGUGGUAGAGACGAGCCACCGAGAGCUCGUAAAAUCAUCACCCAGGGGUUUAACGGCA